UACGGGAGGCAGCAGUGGGGAAUAUUGCACAAUGGGCGCAAGCCUGAUGCAGCCAUGCCGCGUGUAUGAAGAAGGCCUUCGGGUUGUAAAGUACUUUCAGUCGUGAGGAAGGUGUUAAGGUUAAUAACCUUAGCAAUUGACGUUAGCGACAGAAGAAGCACCGGCUAACUCCGUGCCAGCAGCCGCGGUAAUACGGAGGGUGCGAGCGUUAAUCGGAAUUACUGGGCGUAAAGGGCACGCAGGCGGUUAAUUAAGUUGGAUGUGAAAUCCCCGGGCUUAACCUGGGAAUGGCAUUCAAGACUGGUUAGCUAGAGUCUUGUAGAGGGGGUAGAAUUCCAUGUGUAGCGGUGAAAUGCGUAGAGAUGUGGAGGAAUACCGGUGGCGAAGGCGGCCCCUGGACAAAGACUGACGCUCAUGUGCGAAAGCUGGGGAGCAAACAGGGAUUAGAUAC
RNAcentral lists this ribosomal RNA (451 nucleotides) under uncultured bacterium. RNAcentral's name for it is "bacterial SSU rRNA". It matches the Rfam family "Bacterial small subunit ribosomal RNA", at positions 340 to 785 of the family's 1533-position model. The record is from RNAcentral.